CCUACGGGUGGCAGCAGUGGGGAAUAUUGGACAAUGGGGGAAACCCUGAUCCAGCGACGCCGCGUGAGUGAAGAAGUAUUUCGGUACGUAAAGCUCUAUCAGCAGGAAAGAAAAUGACGGUACCUGACUAAGAAGCCCCGGCUAACUACUGGCCAGCAGCCGCGGUAAUACGUAGGGGGCCAGCGUUAUCCGGAUUUACUGGGUGUAAAGGGAGCGUAGACGGCAGCGCAAGUCUGGAGUGAAAUGCCGGGGCCCAACCCCGGAACUGCUUUUGAAACUGCCGGGCUGGAGUGCAGGAGAGGUAAGCGGAAUUCCUAGUGGAGCGGGGAAAUGCGUAGAUAUUAGGAGGAACACCAGUGGCGAAGGCGGCUUACUGGACUGUAACUGACGUUGAGGCUCGAAAGCGUGGGGAGCAAACAGGAUUAGAUACCCCGGUAGUC
This 440-nucleotide ribosomal RNA is filed under the name uncultured bacterium. RNAcentral describes it as "partial 16S ribosomal RNA". It matches the Rfam family "Bacterial small subunit ribosomal RNA", at positions 338 to 795 of the family's 1533-position model. The record is from RNAcentral.